UACCACCCAUUCCCCAAAUUCCUACAAAGAGAACAUCUUCUGACCCCAUGUUCAAUAAUGAUUGAAUUUGCUCAACUCGUGAAUCAAUUCCAACUAAGCCAUUAAAAUCACUGGGCGACAUAUGAAUGAGCCAUUCCUUUAAAAUGACUUUGGCAACUUCCUCUGUUAGCUUGUGAUCAUCAGCCCAGUCCCGAGAAUUCCAGCCAUCAAUGAAGGCCAAUUUGAUUAGAGCAUCCCUCCAGCUCUGCACCUUCUCCACCACAGAAGGAUCUUUCUCAUGCUGGGUGAAAACUUGUGCGAACCAACCCGUUUGCUCUUUAACCUCCAAGGGAUCCACAUUAUAGAAAAUGGGGAGAACAGAGAGUCCCAUUGUUUCCUUACAUUGGAUGAUCUUUAGAAGCUCAUCUAAGCACAAACCGGAAGAAGCAUAGCUUUCAGAAAUGACAACGACUGCAAAUCUUGAAAAUUCGAUAGCCUUUAUGGAUUUCUCUCUCCCAAGCUUUUGAUUAUCUUUGAAGCAGAGGAAUCCUUUGCGUUCCAGCUCUUUAUAGAGAAGAGCAACAAAGGGCUUGCGGUUAUCGUCCACCCUGAAGCUCAAGAAGACAUGGUAAUAAUUCGACGAAGAAGGAAAGGAUUUUUCAACGAUGG
Molecule: unclassified non-coding RNA, 648 nt
Filed under: Hevea brasiliensis (rubber tree)
Lineage: Eukaryota; Viridiplantae; Streptophyta; Magnoliopsida; Malpighiales; Euphorbiaceae
Source: RNAcentral